GUUAUGCCAACUAACGUUACAGAAUCCCUCACAGGGCACUGAGUGCUGGGUGGGCCGUGUGUUUUACAGCAUCAUCUCCCAUCAUUUUCACAACAAUCCUGGGAGACACCUUUGGGAAGUCGUCUGUCUUCGUGGCAGAAUGGAAGCCAGGAGUGCCAUUAGGAGUGCACCACCCAUCAGCUCUUGUUCAACUGGAACAUCUUGAUCCUUCUUCCAGACCCCUCAAGCCUCCAUUCGGCGGCAGGCACAGGAUGUGGGUUGCCUGCCCAACAUCCACUUUGCCUUCUGAUAUCAGAACUCAAAUAUAUAUCUAUAUCUGACGGAGAGAGUCACCAAAUGCCUUCCCCAACGCCCUUGCAGGGACGUAAGCACGUGCUUAGCGAGUGUGACCACGGCCAUGGUGACUCCCCCAGCAGAGUGGUUGAGAUGGUGUGGUGGUGUCUGGCCAGGAUCUGAAUUCCCAAACAUCUUCCUCCUCCUCAAGCAAAUGGUUUUGGGAUGGUUUGGAAUCGACAACCUGCUUCCCAAUGUGGCUUCUGCAUAACUUCCUUGCUAUGGGAUCUCAAGCUGAUCCUUAGUUCCUUCAUCUUGACGCGGGAACAUUAAUAAUGCUGUCUUCUGGGGCACCUGGGUGGCUCAGUCAGUUAAGCAUCUGCCUUUGGCUCAGCUCGUGAUCUCAGGGUCCUGGGAUCGAGCUCUGCACUGGGGAUCCCUGCUCAGCAGGGAGUCUGCUUCUCCCUCUCCCUCUGUCUCUCCCCACUACUUGUGCUCUGUCUCACAUAAAUCAGUAAAAUCUUAAAAAAAAAAAAAUGCUGCCUUCUCAGGCUCUUGGCAGGACUGGACCUGAGUGUAAACUCCAUGAGGGUAGGAUGAAUAUUCCAUUCAUCACCAUGCACCCACACUACGCUGUGGGUACACAGUAGGUGCUUAACAGUUGUGCAUUGAGUGGAUGGGUGUGCAGGUCUCAGCAGAGUGACUGGUUCAAGAAAUCUUCGCUGAAAAGCUAAAUGAAUACCCAAACAGCACCCAGGCCACAGGUUCCAGUGGGAGGCAUGGGGAGGGAAGGGUUAAGUGAUGGGUCUCUACAACCCCCGCACCGCUCCCCAUCAGAGCAGAUCAGCUUUUAUCAGAUUUAUGCAAGGGAUUCGUUCCUGAAGUUAUGCAUUAUUCAAGACUAAAUUUCCCAGAGGGAUAAAUGUAAAGCAAGAUCUGCAUUAUUUCAAAAUCUGAGCAUACGGCGAGUCUUUAUUAAUAUUUUUAAAUCGCCUGAUUUCCAAGUCACAUAAUACAAAUUUGCAUCAAGUGUGACAUCCUGUUUCAGAGUGCUGGAUGAAGUUUGGUGGGCAGAAAGUUUUCUGAGGGUUAAAAAGUUCAGACCCUCCUCCUGGCCUCCCACAUUUGUGGCAAGAGGUCUGUAAGGCGAGAGGUGAGGUUUGGCCAUAAUCAUUUGGUAUUAAAAGUAGUUAAAAUGCCAACGUGGAGGGAUGAUUCACUUUUACCAAAAAUCACUGUUGAUUCAAAUUUAGCUGUAUGGAGCCGUGUGAAUUAUUGAAAAAUUAAUCGCUGUCUUUUUUCUCACUGCUUUAGGCUCAUCAGAAGGGAAUAAAGGAACUUUUCUCCCAUUCUCCCGGGAACUUGCUACAAGUGCAGGAGGGCAGCAUGCAGGGUGCUGGCUGAAAAUGCAGACUCCCGGGUUCUACACACCAGUUUUGAGGUGGGCCCAGGACUCUGCAUUUUUAACAGGAGCUUCAGGACGCUCUGGGGCAGUGAUGAGGACACUGCGGCACAGAGAGGUUUAGCAACGCAAAGUCACACCGCCUGUGAAAGGCAGAGCCAGUAUCUACAUUUGAGCAAUAAGCUAUAGUCUAUUCUUGGUCCCCUUGCUCUUCAGCCACAAGUAGUAAGUGUGAGGAUGUGAUCACACCAACUGGCGACUGCAUCUUUCUUUCCAAUCAUUCAGGCCCAAACCCUGAGACGCUUGUAAGAUCCACAGAAAGGAGAUGUGUCCUGAAAUUGAGCACCAUCGAACUUACUCACCUACAUUAAUAAUGGAGAUAAGACUUGAUUUAGAAAUGUAAAGAAGUGGGACCUAUCUUGCACGUUCAGGAGUUUACAGAGCAACUUACACCUAUGGCCCCAAUUAGAAUGUCAAAUUCCCUUGCUUGCUUUUUCGAUAUGCCUUCUUUCUUAAUUUGGUUUUUUUGAGCAGAUCCGACGCUGUAUUUACGUAGUUCAGAAAUAAAGAUAA
Molecule: long non-coding RNA, 2248 nt
Organism: Canis lupus familiaris (dog)
Lineage: Eukaryota; Metazoa; Chordata; Mammalia; Carnivora; Canidae
Exons: 4
Source: RefSeq, a predicted model, not a curated record